GACGAACGCUGGCGGCGUGCUUAACACAUGCAAGUCGAACGGGGCUCAUCGCUUCGGUGGUGGGUCUAGUGGCGAACGGGUGAGUAACACGUGGGCAACCUGCCCCCGGCUCUGGGAUAACUCCAAGAAAUUGGGGCUAAUACCGGAUAUGACUGCUGGCCGCAUGGUCUGGUGGUGGAAAGGGUUUCCGGCUGGGGAUGGGCCCGCGGCCUAUCAGCUUGUUGGUGGGGUAGUGGCCUACCAAGGCGACGACGGGGAGCCGGCCUGAGAGGGGGACCGGCCACACGGGGACUGGGAACCGGCCCAGACUCCUACGGGAGGCAGCAGUGGGGAAUAUUGCGCAAUGGGCGGAAGCCUGACGCAGCGACGCCGCGUGGGGGAUGACGGCCUUCGGGUUGUAAACCUCUUUCAGCAGGGACGAAGCCGCGAGGUGACGGUACCUGCAGAAGAAGCACCGGCCAACUACGUGCCAGCAGCCGCCGUAA
Molecule: ribosomal RNA, 485 nt
Filed under: uncultured bacterium
Lineage: Bacteria
Description: partial 16S ribosomal RNA
Rfam family: Bacterial small subunit ribosomal RNA
Source: RNAcentral